GAUGAACGCUGGCGGCGUGCUUAACACAUGCAAGUUGAACGAAGUGGCGUAUGGGCGAGUAACACGUGAGGAACCUGCCUUUCACAGGGGAAUAACCCUGGGCAACCAGUGCUAAUACCGCAUAGUGAAAGAUGGCCUCGCGCCUGAUUAGCUAGUAGGUGAGGUAACGGCUCGACUAGGUGAUGAUCAGUAGCCGGACUGAAGGUUGAUCGGCAGCAUGGAGAAUGAGACACGGCCGAGACGACUAAGGGAGGCAGCAGUGGGGGAUAUUGGACAAUGGCGAAAGCCUGAUGCAGCGAGGCCGCGUGGGGGAUGAAGGCUGUCGGGUUGUAAACCUCGUUCCAUCGAAGAGGGUAGGUGGAGAAGAAGCGCCGGCUAACUACGUGCCAGCAGCCGCGGUAAUAC
RNAcentral lists this ribosomal RNA (405 nucleotides) under uncultured bacterium. Its description in RNAcentral is "partial 16S ribosomal RNA". It matches the Rfam family "Bacterial small subunit ribosomal RNA", at positions 28 to 526 of the family's 1533-position model. The record is from RNAcentral.